RNAcentral lists this ribosomal RNA (497 nucleotides) under uncultured bacterium. RNAcentral's name for it is "partial 16S ribosomal RNA". It matches the Rfam family "Bacterial small subunit ribosomal RNA", at positions 28 to 507 of the family's 1533-position model. The record is from RNAcentral.
GAUGAACGCUGGCGGCGUGCCUAAUACAUGCAAGUCGAGCGAACGGACGAGAAGCUUGCUUCUCUGAUGUUAGCGGCGGACGGGUGAGUAACACGUGGAUAACCUACCUAUAAGACUGGGAUAACUUCGGGAAACCGGAGCUAAUACCGGAUAAUAUUUUGAACCGCAUGGUUCAAAAGUGAAAGACGGUCUUGCUGUCACUUAUAGAUGGAUCCGCGCUUCAUUAGCUAGUUGGUAAGGUAACGGCUUACCAAGGCAACGAUGCAUAGCCGACCUGAGAGGGUGAUCGGCCACACUGGAACUGAGACACGGUCCAGACUCCUACGGGAGGCAGCAGUAGGGAAUCUUCCGCAAUGGGCGAAAGCCUGACGGAGCAACGCCGCGUGAGUGAUGAAGGUCUUCGGAUCGUAAAACUCUGUUAUUAGGGAAGAACAUAUGUGUAAGUAACUGUGCACAUCUUGACGGUACCUAAUCAGAAAGCCACGGCUAACUACAUG